AAAAGCACUUACUUUUUUAUAACAUUAGUAAAACAAACUUACUUUUGCUCGCCCUGCUAAGAUCACUGAGACCUUGCUCAAGUACAUCCGAAUCCAUGAAAUCCUCAUUCAAUAUGGUGGACUCAAGAGGGAGAAUGACUUUGAGUUUUCAGUCUCUGACUGUAAAGCUUCAGAAAUUCUCCUUAAACCCGGAUCAACUGAAACCAUUGGCAUACCUGCAGUAGACGUGGAAAGUACAUUUAUCUGGGAUGUAACGAUUGUGGGCGGAGAGGUGAGCUAUAAGGAGGAUUUCGUGCCAGA
Molecule: long non-coding RNA, 300 nt
Organism: Capsicum annuum
Lineage: Eukaryota; Viridiplantae; Streptophyta; Magnoliopsida; Solanales; Solanaceae
Exons: 3
Source: RefSeq, a predicted model, not a curated record